CCUUCGAUAGCUCAGUUGGUAGAGCGGUGGACUGUAGAAGUAUCCGAUAUUGACAUCCAUAGGUCGCUGGUUCAAAUCCGGCUCGAAGGA
This 90-nucleotide transfer RNA is filed under the name Papilio xuthus (Asian swallowtail). It matches the Rfam family "tRNA". Rfam says of the family: Transfer RNA (tRNA) molecules are approximately 80 nucleotides in length. Their secondary structure includes four short double-helical elements and three loops (D, anti-codon, and T loops). Lineage: Eukaryota; Metazoa; Arthropoda; Insecta; Lepidoptera; Papilionidae. The record is from Rfam by way of RNAcentral.